Molecule: non-coding RNA, 28 nt
Filed under: Bombyx mori (domestic silkworm)
Lineage: Eukaryota; Metazoa; Arthropoda; Insecta; Lepidoptera; Bombycidae
Source: RNAcentral
UGAUGACGAAAAAGCAGAGCUACUGGCC